UAGGUAGCGCCUCGUGAAUUCAUCUCCGGGGGUAGAGCACUGUUUCGGCAAGGGGGUCAUCCCGACUUACCAACCCGAUGCAAACUGCGAAUACCGGAGAAUGUUAUCACGGGAGACACACGGCGGGUGCUAACGUCCGUCGUGAAGAGGGAAACAACCCAGACCGCCAGCUAAGGUCCCAAAGUCAUGGUUAAGUGGGAAACGAUGUGGGAAGGCCCAGACAGCCAGGAUGUUGGCUUAGAAGCAGCCAUCAUUUAAAGAAAGCGUAAUAGCUCACUGGUCGAGUCGGCCUGCGCGGAAGAUGUAACGGGGCUAAACCAUGCACCGAAGCUGCGGCAGCGACACUAUGUGUUGUUGGGUAGGGGAGCGUUCUGUAAGCCUGUGAAGGUGUGCUGUGAGGCAUGCUGGAGGUAUCAGAAGUGCGAAUGCUGACAUAAGUAACGAUAAAGCGGGUGAAAAGCCCGCUCGCCGGAAGACCAAGGGUUCCUGUCCAACGUUAAUCGGGGCAGGGUGAGUCGACCCCUAAGGCGAGGCCGAAAGGCGUAGUCGAUGGGAAACAGGUUAAUAUUCCUGUACUUGGUGUUACUGCGAAGGGGGGACGGAGAAGGCUAUGUUGGCCGGGCGACGGUUGUCCCGGUUUAAGCGUGUAGGCUGGUUUUCCAGGCAAAUCCGGAAAAUCAAGGCUGAGGCG
Molecule: ribosomal RNA, 691 nt
Filed under: Escherichia coli
Lineage: Bacteria; Pseudomonadati; Pseudomonadota; Gammaproteobacteria; Enterobacterales; Enterobacteriaceae
Description: partial 23S ribosomal RNA
Rfam family: Bacterial large subunit ribosomal RNA
Source: RNAcentral